This 77-nucleotide transfer RNA is filed under the name Betaproteobacteria bacterium. Its description in RNAcentral is "tRNA-Ile". It matches the Rfam family "tRNA". Rfam says of the family: Transfer RNA (tRNA) molecules are approximately 80 nucleotides in length. Their secondary structure includes four short double-helical elements and three loops (D, anti-codon, and T loops). The record is from RNAcentral. Lineage: Bacteria; Pseudomonadati; Pseudomonadota; Betaproteobacteria.
GGGCCCAUAGCUCAAUUGGUUAGAGCCGCGGACUCAUAAUCCGUUGGUUGCAGGUUCGAGUCCUGCUGGGCCCACCA